GACAGAGGGUGCAAACGUUGUUCGGAAUUACUGGGCGUAAAGCGAGUGUAGGCGGUUCGAUAAGUCGGAUGUGAAAGCCCCGGGCUCAACCCGGGAAGUGCACUCGAUACUGUCGAGCUAGAGUAUCGGAGAGGUUGGUGGAAUUCCGGGUGUAGCGGUGGAAUGCGUAGAGAUCCGGAAGAACACCGGUGGCGAAGGCGGCCUGCUGGGCAGUAGCUGACGCUGAGGCGCGACAGCGUGGGGAGCAAACAGG
Molecule: ribosomal RNA, 253 nt
Filed under: uncultured bacterium
Lineage: Bacteria
Description: partial 16S ribosomal RNA
Rfam family: Bacterial small subunit ribosomal RNA
Source: RNAcentral